This 465-nucleotide ribosomal RNA is filed under the name uncultured bacterium. RNAcentral describes it as "partial 16S ribosomal RNA". It matches the Rfam family "Bacterial small subunit ribosomal RNA", at positions 339 to 795 of the family's 1533-position model. The record is from RNAcentral.
CUACGGGUCGCUCCAGUGAGGAAUUUUGCGCAAUGGGGGGAACCCUGACGCAGCAACGCCGCGUGAGUGAAGAAGGCCUUUGGGUCGUAAAGCUCUGUCAACAAGGGAGAAGUUAGCAUUGAUGAACAGUUGAUGCUAUUGACGGUACUUGUGGAGGAAGCGCCGGCUAACUCCGUGCCAGCAGCCGCGGUAACACGGGGGGCGCAAGCGUUAUUCGGAAUUAUUGGGCGUAAAGGGCGCGUAGGCGGCCUUAUCAGUCAGAUGUGAAAGCCCGGGGCUCAACCCCGGACGUGCAUUUGAAACAGUAAGGCUUGAGUACGGGAGAGGAAAGCGGAAUUCCUGGUGUAGAGGUGAAAUUCGUAGAUAUCAGGAGGAACACCGAUGGCGAAGGCAGCUUUCUGGACCGAUACUGACGCUGAGGCGCGAAGGCGUGGGUAGCGAACAGGAUUAGAUACCCGUGUAGUC